Non-coding RNA from Potamilus streckersoni, 73 nucleotides. The record is from the annotation of a GenBank genome assembly. Lineage: Eukaryota; Metazoa; Mollusca; Bivalvia; Unionida; Unionidae.
GCUCUGGUAGCCUAGUGGUUAGAGCGUCCGCUUCAGAUGCGGGGGUUCGUGGGUUCGAUCCCUUAAUGAGUCA